UCCAACGACUUCCCGCCGUGCGCACUAA
RNAcentral lists this small RNA (28 nucleotides) under Bombyx mori (domestic silkworm). Its description in RNAcentral is "ovarian small RNA-26513". Lineage: Eukaryota; Metazoa; Arthropoda; Insecta; Lepidoptera; Bombycidae. The record is from RNAcentral.